RNAcentral lists this ribosomal RNA (208 nucleotides) under uncultured bacterium. RNAcentral describes it as "partial 16S ribosomal RNA". It matches the Rfam family "Bacterial small subunit ribosomal RNA", at positions 1293 to 1500 of the family's 1533-position model. The record is from RNAcentral.
UCAGAUUGCAGGCUGCAACUCGCCUGUAUGAAGUUGGAAUUGCUAGUAAUCGCGGAUCAGCAUGCCGCGGUGAAUACGUUCCCGGGCCUUGUACACACCGCCCGUCACACCAUGAGAGCCGGUAAUACCCGAAGUCAGUAUCCUAACCGCAAGGAGGGAGCUGCCGAAGGUAGGAUUGGCGAUUGGGGUGAAGUCGUAACAAGGUAGC